GGAUGCAAUCAUACCAGCACUAAAGCACCGGAUCCCAUCAGAACUCCAAAAUUAAGCGUGCUUGGGCGAGAGUAGUACUAGGAUGGGUGACCUCCUGGGAAGUCCUCGUGUUGCAUUCCC
Molecule: ribosomal RNA, 120 nt
Filed under: Triticum timopheevii
Lineage: Eukaryota; Viridiplantae; Streptophyta; Magnoliopsida; Poales; Poaceae
Source: RNAcentral